CCUGCCCCCCUGCCCCCAGGCCCUGUCUCCCUGCCCCAGGCCCUGUCUCCCUGCCCCAGGCCCUGCCUCCCUGCCCCCAGGCCCUGACUCCCUGCCUUCAGGCCCUGCCUCCCUACCCAGGCCCUGCCUCCUGACCCAGACCCUGCCUCCCUGCCCCCAGGCCCUGCCUCCCUGCCCCCAGGCCCUGCCUCCCUGCCCCCAGGCACUGCCUCCCUGCCCCCAGGCCCUGUCUCCCUGCCCUAGACCCUGCCUCCCUGCCCCCAGGCCCUGUUUCCCUGCCCCAACCCUGUCUCCCUGACUCAGACCUUGUCUCCCUGCCCCUAGGCCCUGUCUCCCUGCCCCCAGGCCCUGUCUCCCUGUCCCAGGCCCUGUCUCCCUGACUCAGACCUUGUCUCCCUGCCCCCAGGCCCUGUCUCCCUGCCCCAACCCUGUCUCCCUGACUCAGACCUUGUCUCCCUGCCCCUAGGCCCUGUCUCCCUGACUCAGACCCUGCCACCCUGCCCCAGGCGCUGUCUCCCUGUCCCCAGACCCUGCCUCCCUGCCCCAGGCCCUGCCUCCCUGCCCCAGGCCCUGCCUCCAGACCCUGACCCUGCCUCCCUGUCCCCAGGCCCUGUCUCCCUGUCCCCAGGCCCUGCCCCCCUGCCCCCAGGCCCUGUCUCCCUGCCCCAGGCCCUGCCUCCCUGCCCCCAGGCCCUGUCUCCCUGCCCCAGGCCCUGCCUCCCUGCCCCCAGGCCCUGUCUCCCUGCCUUCAGGCCCUGUCUCCCUGACCCCAGGCCCUGCCUCCCUGACCCAGGCCCUGCCUCCUGACCCAGACCCUGCUUCCCUGCUCCCAGGCCCUGACUCCCUGCCCCCAGACCCUGCUUCCCUGCCCCCAGGCACUGCCUCCCUGCCCCCAGGCCCUGUCUCCCUGCCCCCAGGCCCUGUCUCCCUGCCCCAGGCCCUGCCUCCCUGCCCCCAGGCCCUGUCUCCCUGCCCCAACCCUGUCUCCCUGACUCAGACCUUGUCUCCCUGACCCCAGGCCCUAUCUCCCUGCCUUCAGGCCCUGUCUCCCUGACCCCAGGCCCUGUCUCCCUGACCCCAGGCCCUAUCUACCUGACCCAGGCCCUGCCUCCCUGACUCAGACCCUGCCUCUCUGUCCCCAGGCCCUGCCUUCUUGACCCAGGCCCUGUCUCCCUGCCCCCAGGCCCUGCCUCCCUGUCCCAGGCCCUGCCUCCCUACCCCCAGGCCCUGCCUCUCUGACCCCAGGCCCUAUCUCCCUGCCCCCAGGCCCUGUCUCCCUGACUCAGACCCUGCCACCCUGCCCCAGGCGCUGUCUCCCUGCCCCAGGCCCUGACUCCCUGUCCCCAGAUCCUGUCUCACUGACCCCAGGCCCUGCCUCCCUGCCCCAGGCACUGCCUCCAGACCCAGACCCUGCCUCCCGACCCAGACCCUGCCUCCCUGCCCCCAGGCCCUGUCUCCCUGCCCCAACCCUGUCUCCCUGACUCAGACCUUGUCUCCCUGCCCCUAGGCCCUGUCUCCCUGCCCCAGGCCCUGCCUCCCUGCCCCCAGGCCCUGUCUCCCUGUCCCAGGCCCUGUCUCCCUGCCCCAGGCCCUGUCUCCCUGACCCCAGGCCCUGUCUCCCUGCCUUCAGGCCCUGUCUCCCUGACCCCAGGCCUUGCCUCCCUGACCCCAGGCCCUGUCUCCCUGUCCCAGGCCCUGUCUCCCUGAUCCCAGGCCCUGUCUCCCUGACCCCAGGCCCUGUCUCCCUGACCCCAGGCCCUGUCUCCUUGACCACAGGCCCUGUCUACCUGACCCAGGCCCUGCCUCCCUGACUCAGGCCCUGCCUCCCUGACUCAGACCCUGCCUCUCUGUCCCCAGGCCCUGUCUCCCUGCCCCCAGGCCCUGUCUCCCUAACUCAGACCCUGCCUCCCUGACUCAGACCCUGCCUCCCUACCCCCAGGCCCUGCCUCCCUGUCCCAGGCCCUGCCCCCCUACCCCCAGGCCCUGCCUCUCUGUCCCCAGGCCCUAUCUCCCUGCCCCAGGCCCUGUCUCCCUGACUCAGGCCCUGCCUCCCUGCCCCCAGGCCCUGUCUCCCUGUCCCAGGCCCUGUCUCCCUGCCCCAGGCCCUGUCUCCCUGACCCCAGGCCCUAUCUCCCUGCCUUCAGGCCCUGUCUCCCUGACCCCAGGCCUUGCCUCCCUGCCCCCAGGCCCUGUCUCCCUGUCCCAGGCCCUGUCUCCCUGCCCCAGGCCCUGUCUCCCUGACCCCAGGCCCUAUAUCCCUGCCUUCAGGCCCUGUCUCCCUGACCCCAGGCCCUGUCUCCCUGACCCCAGGCCCUGUCUACCUGACCCAGGCCCUGCCUCCCUGCCCCCAGGCCCUGCCUCCCUAACUCAGACCCUGCCUCCCUGACUCAGACCCUGCCUCCCUGCCCCCAGGCCCUGCCUCCCUGUCCCAGGCCCUGCCCCCCUACCCCCAGGCCCUGCCUCUCUGUCCCCAGGCCCUAUCUCCCUGCCCCCAGGCCCUGUCUCCCUGACUCAGACCCUGUCUCCCUGCCCCCAGGCCCUGUCUCCCUGAUUCAGACCCUGUCUCUCUGGCCCCAGGCCCUGUCUCUCUGCCCCAGGCCCUGUCUCCCUGCCCCAGGCCCUGCUUCCCUGCCCCCAGGCCCUGCAUCCCUGCCCCAGCUGUGGGAGGGCGAGGCUCAGCGCCCCCCCUCUCCUGCUCUGGGAGGGGCAGGGAAGAGGAGGAGGCCGAUGCUGUCCUCUUAGAUCCUUCCUGGAGCAACGAUGGGUACCGCUGCGGCAGCGAUGCCCAGUGUUAGAAAGGCCAGAGCUAGCUCUGGUAGAAGGUGUCUGUGACGGAAGGCGCCUGCAUUGUUCGUUCUGUCCCCAUCCUGGAGUGAGGGCACCAGAGGCUGGAGAAAGCCCAGCUUCAGGACCACCAACCUUCCAGCACUUUCUGAGACAAGUGGGGACGUUAUGUGUGCCUUGGCCAAAGGUUAGAAGGCCAAGGCACUCACGGGGCUGGCGGGUACGUGGGCUACUUGGCCGCAGCCUCAUUUGUCCCUGAGCGCCGCGCGGCCAGCUGAGGCUGCUGGGAAUUGGCGGAAUGCUCUGCUGCUGAGCUGACACCAGGUCCGGACGGCUCGGCCACGCUGCAGGCUGCCUGUCCUUCAUGACACGCCGCCCCCUCCCACCCCGGCGACCGCAGGGCUCAGGGUCCUCCCAUCACUUGCAGACGCUGGCCUUCCAGAGAAGAGGAGCCACCCGAGGGACAUCGGCCAGGACAGUGAGAAUACACAGCAAACCUUAAAACUCAUUUUUGACAUCAGAGAAAAGGGAUUCUGAGUCCUCGGGAUUGUUGGAGUGCGAGCAGGACUGAUGAGGCUGCUCAGGCUGUCACCCUCGGGAGCAGAACCAGAGUCGGGGCAGGUGUUUUCACUGGAUCUGGUGAAAUCAGUCGUGGCUGAGGUGGGGGCGCGGGGUGUUUGUGUGGCCCUGGGGUCCUCUUGGGGCCAGCACCUCCGGCGGACCUCCGGCCGCAGGCUGAUCACAGCCGGGCGUUUGGAUAAAUGCUACGGAAAUCUGCCACCCGUUCCAGGCGAGCCUUUGGCCAGGCACCCAUGAGGUCCCUUUUGGGCGUUCUGGUGGGGACACAGCCUGAGAUGCCCCUCCCUGGAGAUGGGGUGCCACCGCGGACAGAACCAGCCCGCGGCUGAGCUGCAACCACUACCUGGUGUCCUGAGGCCAGACCCGGACCCUACCAGCCACACUGUCGGCUGCCAGGAGGGUCUGCAGGGGUGGGGGGCAUGCAGCCCCGCUUUCUCCCAGUAUAGAAGUGCCUGGCCGUACCUGUGACCUGCAAUGGCGGCCCAAUCCCAGAGCCCACGUGGCACCGGGACCCCAGGCCGCUCUGGGAGAGGCGGCAGGGCGCGACGGGCACAGCCUGGGACUCAGGGACAGGAGGCUCUGAGCUGCAGCAGCUUGGCCAUCCGCCCCGGCUUAGCCAAGGGGGUCACCGUGUGCGUCAGAUGGCAGUGAUGACACUUACCUGGUUGACCGCUGUGAGUACAGUGGGGCUACGCACCACAGCCUCACAGUCAGGCAUCCAGCGGAUGCUCAGUAAAGGCUGUUCCCUCCCUCCCCCCUCCUGUCACUGGGCAUCUGGGCCUGGGACCCCCAUGAGCUCGCAGCCUUCCACCCGCCCCCGGGGCCACGCUGCCCUUCUCUGGGAGCUUCAGCUCUCUCCCUAGCACAGCGGCCGCAGGGCAUUAGGGCCGCCUGUGUCCUGGGAAGGAAGCAGCUCAUCUGCAGGCACAAGCGGCCCUCUUGGCAGCACUCCUUGCCGACCGCCUCUCACUAAAGCGUGCGCGGGCAGAAGCCGGGCGGCAGUGGCCACGGUGCGUCCGCGCGUUUUGCUGCCAAAAGCAGGGUGCGAGAUGAAGGGGGGCGAGGAGCGAGAGGAAGGGGGAGCACGCGUCCCGGGGCCGGCGCCUGCGGCUAACAUUUAGGGUUUCAAAAACUGUUACCUGAGUCCUCAGUUUAAUCAUGUCGGCCUCCAUCUGCGAGUUGGACUCGUUGAGCUCCUUGAUUUCCUCGUCUAGCUGUUUGAUUUCCUCGUCAUUUUCUAUACCUGUGGGGGUGACAGGACUGCGUUAAAGCCAUCGAACGUGAAGACGGAGUUAGAAUUUUGACUUUUCUUUGUUCUUUUUGUAUUCGGAACUGAAUCUGCUGGACAAAUAUACUCUUGGGUUAAAAAAAACAGUGACAGUUCACGUGGCCGUCCAGCCCUCCCGCUGCCCUCCUCGCCAUCACAGCACCUACACUGCGGAGAGAAUCAGCGGAGCACACGCGACCCCCCCGCACCGCGCGCCGGCCCAGAGCCGCUCUGUCCUGGGGUGGGUGACCUGCUUCAGCCCAUCACCUGCCUCCUUGGUCUGUCCCCUGUCUGUCUGUCUGUCUCUUUCUCUGCCACCCCUGGGGGAUGUGCCAGGCUGUGCGCGGAUGCACCCUCACCAGGCCCAGCCCCGCUGCCCACAGGUGGCCAAACCCCCUGACGCCUGGGGUGCUCAGGGCCACCUCCCGCCUGCGCUGCAAGGAAGCCUCGUGCUGGUGGAGGCAGGUUUCAGGGGCCUUCUGAAGGGCUCUCCGCACGGAGGACAUUUAACUGAUGUAAACAACUCCUCCUUUUGAAUGCAGAAAACGCGCCUCCACCGACAAGGCUGGGGUGGUGGCAGCCUUGUGUGUGCCCUGGGGGCCACGCCGGGCGCCUGGGCUGCUUGCUGGCGGCAGGACACGCCAGGGAGGGAACAAUCCGGACCCUCCGUCGUUCUGGCCAUUGGGUCUCAUGCGGCUGAAUGUACUCGGGGAAGAAGAGCGGGACGCCUGCAGAUGCCAUCACCUUUGAUAACCCGGGACACGGGUCACAGGGCACAGCAGGGGAUGCUCAUGCAAAGCCACGGGAAAGGCACGGAGCCCAGGCCUCGGAGGUCCCAGGGCAGACGCCCUUCUGUGGGUCUGCAGACAGAAGGGGUGCGGCCACCUGGGAGGGAAGGCCCGAGACACGGAGGGACACUGCAGAGGCCCGGUGAGCAGGUCCUUCGUCCCGAAUCUCUUCCCACAGACCCGCCUGGGGAUGCGUGGAUCCUGAGCCUGCCGAGGUCCAUCCCCCCCACAGGGACCGGCUGGGGCUCGCUUGACCCCAAGCCUGGGUCUUGCAGCCCUGGCCCCACCGCAGAGGCCCUGGGUGCGCGUCCCCGGCCUUUGUGUCCCCGGGUCCAGAGCAACUCUGGUCGCCAUCAGAUGCAUCUCCGGAAGCAGUUCACGGCUCCCAGGAAAGCCUUCCAGCGAUGGGGUGUACCCUUUCUCAGGGGCGGGCUGUUACAUUUUCCCCCUUUCCACAUGAGACCAGACUCUGUGGCAACUUUCACAAUUAGGAGUUGGGCUGAGUGAGUUCCUGCAUGUAAUACUUUGCACUCUGGAGACUCGUCCCGGGAGGUGGCCACCGUAAUUAUUGGACCGCCCGAGGCCUAAGCAUCCUGAUUUGUAAGCCCUUUAUCCCCUAACCGGGGCUCACCACGCGUUCCUUUAAGUUGCAACCAGCCCAAGCUCGAGGACGUCUCCGGUGUGCACGGGGCCAUGGCAGUCUCCACGCGACGGCCCCUCCGUGCCUGGGGCUGUGCUGUGUUCCGAGGGAAUUUCUGCUCGGAUUUCUGAGUGGGUCCUUCAUGUCGUAUUUCUUCAGUGUUUCAGGUGUGAACAAUCUUAGAACUUCUCUCUUCGCAGCCGUGCGUGAUAGUUCCCGCGGAACAGAGAACUGCAUGCGCGCGAGGGGCCGUCUCGGGUUCUGGAAGCACGGCAGACUUCCUGCUCUCUCCCACCCCCGAGGCUGGGGUCUCUCCAGUGUCACACUACUUUGAAAGACACCGUUAUUCCCUCAGAAGCUCUCUUCUCCGGGCCCCUGCAGUGGGGGACUGUCUCUCCCCAGGGUCUCUCCCAGGGCCGUGUGUGAAUGCACUGCCCAGAGCAAAAGCAAUCAUCAAACAAAAGGACAGGUUUCUUAUAUCCGUUAGAUAAGAAUUCUAAUUUUUUAUGUAUGUAUCGUGGCUUAAAGUGUCAAAGAGUAGACCUGUUGCGUUUUGAGAAGGUAACCACCGUGGUGGACCCGCACCGGACGGCUGGUGCAGCUCCUUUCCGGGACCGUCAUUGGAUCGGGACAUUGAUUUUGGUUACUUCCUGAUAGCGCGGGUGAUAAAUGUUCUGUGCGCAUGCCUGUUCCCAACAUCAAGAUAGCUUGUUUCCACUGAGAAUGUACGAAUGGAAUUAUGAACGAAACAACUCGUUUCGGGAUAGGCCGUUUGGAGAUCACCACGUAAUCAUAAAGCCCAGAGAACUGUGGGGGAAAUAGUGGGCCUAAGGAUUGCAAUGAAAUCAUCUUAAUUGCCUUGUUAGACAUGCUCUAUCCAUGGUAGCUGAUAUGAAGUGAAGCAUACAGAACAGCCCGAAAUGUCAACAUGUCCUGGGCCUGUAUUCUGGCAAAUGCAAGCUUAGAAGUUGGAUAAAGGUCUGAGAAGAGCACGUGGUCUCCCCAGAAUAUGGCUGAAAUCUUGGAGGUCCAUUCUACUGAUCUGAAUUUUUACAAAAGAGCAUCCAAAAAGACUACUUUCUAUUUAACUUUCAUGGGCACCAACACGUAAGCAGAGGCAGAGAUCACACAACUUGGGAUAGAUAUUUCCUGAAGGCUGGAUGUAUUUCUGAACCGCCCUGGUGCAGGGUUUGAGAAGUCGGGGGGUUACAGCCUGGGAUCUGAAACAUGAUGGACCUGGGAUCUAAAUCCAUGUCCUUCCACUUAAGAGUUUUGUGAUGAGUAAUUUUCUUAGUUCUUCUAAACCUCCAAAUCCUCCACUGCAGAGUGUCCCUCCCUGACACAGUGGUAGGAAGAGAUAACUAAAUCUACAUAAGACACCUGACUCAGUGGGACUUGCCAAGCGGCGGCUAGAGAAGACCGUUGAACAUCAGGAGUUGCCUCAGAAGCCAGAGGCCCCUGAGCAUCCGUGGUCUCCGUGCUUACCUGCCCGAAAAGUGGCAUGGGCUGGUUUUGUCCUGCUAACUCAGUGCUGCGAGCUGACAAAUCAUUAAAGGGAAGAGAAAGAGCAAAAAUAUGGUAUGUGGUCUAGCGCAGUGGGCCUCAUUUUUUGUUGAAUUAAAGAAUUAAAAAAAAAUUUCUUUUUAUAAGUCUUAAAG
Long non-coding RNA from Mirounga angustirostris (Northern elephant seal), 7716 nucleotides. RefSeq lists it as uncharacterized. The transcript is spliced from 3 exons. The record is from RefSeq and is a predicted model, not a curated record. Lineage: Eukaryota; Metazoa; Chordata; Mammalia; Carnivora; Phocidae.